Long non-coding RNA from Alligator mississippiensis (American alligator), 262 nucleotides. RefSeq lists it as uncharacterized. NCBI's taxonomy places the organism in Eukaryota, Metazoa, Chordata, Crocodylia, Alligatoridae. The record is from RefSeq and is a predicted model, not a curated record. The transcript has 3 exons.
GGUUAAUCCAGGGAACCUGGCAGGGAUGGCUACUGAGCCCAGCAGUGCCCUCAUCUUCCCUGCUGUUACCUGGAGCAGGGCGCAGGUUCUGUGCAUUGUCAGAAGAACACGGCUGAGAAAUGAUCUGUGAGGAGAUGUGAUGGAGCAUGUUCAAAGCUGCUCAUUCGUUCUGAUGCCAGCAUUUUGCCAGUCUGCCCAGCAGAGUUGAGAUCAGUGCCUGCCACCAUAUCACCGCAAAUCUGUGCUCGCUGACCUCCUUUUU